Molecule: ribosomal RNA, 253 nt
Filed under: uncultured bacterium
Lineage: Bacteria
Description: partial 16S ribosomal RNA
Rfam family: Bacterial small subunit ribosomal RNA
Source: RNAcentral
UACGUAGGGACCGAGCGUUGUCCGGAAUCAUUGGGCGUAAAGAGCGUGUAGGCGGCUUGUUAAGUCUUGCGUGAAAUCUCGGGGCUCAACCCCGAGCGGUCGUGAGAAACUGGCAGGCUAGAGUGCGGGAGAGGAGAGUGGAAUUCCUGGUGUAGAGGUGGAAUUCGUAGAUAUUAGGAAGAACACCAGUGGCGAAGGCGGCUCACUGGCCCGGUACUGACGCUGAGGCACGAAAGCGUGGGGAGCAAACAGG